GACGAACGCUGGCGGCGUGCCUAAUACAUGCAAGUAGAACGCUGAAGAGAGGAGCUUGCUCUUCUUGGAUGAGUUGCGAACGGGUGAGUAACGCGUAGGUAACCUGCCUUGUAGCGGGGGAUAACUAUUGGAAACGAUAGCUAAUACCGCAUAACAAUGGAUGACACAUGUCAUUUAUUUGAAAGGGGCAAUUGCUCCACUACAAGAUGGACCUGCGUUGUAUUAGCUAGUAGGUGAGGUAAUGGCUCACCUAGGCGACGAUACAUAGCCGACCUGAGAGGGUGGUCAGCCACACUGGGACUGAGACACGGCCCAGACUCCUACGGGAAGCAGCAGUAGGGAAUCUUCGGCAAUGGGGGCAACCCUGACCGAGCAACGCCGCGUGAGUGAAGAAGGUUUUCGGAUCGUAAAGCUCUGUUGUAAGUCAAGAACGGGUGUGAGAGUGGAAAGUUCACACUGUGACGGUAGCUUACCAGAAAGGGACGGCUAACUACGUG
Molecule: ribosomal RNA, 497 nt
Filed under: uncultured bacterium
Lineage: Bacteria
Description: partial 16S ribosomal RNA
Rfam family: Bacterial small subunit ribosomal RNA
Source: RNAcentral